RNAcentral lists this ribosomal RNA (548 nucleotides) under uncultured bacterium. RNAcentral describes it as "bacterial SSU rRNA". It matches the Rfam family "Bacterial small subunit ribosomal RNA", at positions 355 to 896 of the family's 1533-position model. The record is from RNAcentral.
UAGGGAAUCUUCCGCAAUGGGCGAAGGCCUGACGGAGCAACGCCGCGUGAGUGAAGAAGGAUUUCGGUUCGUAAAGCUCUGUUGUUAGGGAAGAAUGAUUAUGUAGUAACUAUACAUAGUAGAGACGGUACCUAACCAGAAAGCCACGGCUAACUACGUGCCAGCAGCCGCGGUAAUACGUAGGUGGCAAGCGUUGUCCGGAAUUAUUGGGCGUAAAGCGCGCGCAGGUGGUUUAAUAAGUCUGAUGUGAAAGCCCACGGCUCAACCGUGGAGGGUCAUUGGAAACUGUUAAACUUGAGUGCAGGAGAGAAAAGUGGAAUUCCUAGUGUAGCGGUGAAAUGCGUAGAGAUUAGGAGGAACACCAGUGGCGAAGGCGGCUUUUUGGCCUGUAACUGACACUGAGGCGCGAAAGCGUGGGGAGCAAACAGGAUUAGAUACCCUGGUAGUCCACGCCGUAAACGAUGAGUGCUAAGUGUUGGUCUCAUAAGAGAUCAGUGCUGCAGCUAACGCAUUAAGCACUCCGCCUGGGGAGUACGACCGCAAGGUUG